AGCUCUAUUAGCGUAUAUUAACGUUGUUGAUGUUAAAAAGCUCGUAGUUGAAAUUCCGGCCCUUUGGGUCUGUUUAGGAGGCUAUAGGAUAGAGUAAAAUCUUUCUUAUAGUUAAUUAAACUUUUACUGUGAAUAAAAUAGAGUGCUUAAAGCAGGCGAUAGCUUGAAUAAUUUAGCAUGGAAUAAUAGAAAAUGACUGUAUUCAUUAUAUUGGUUUUUGGAUAUAGUAAUGGUUAACAGGAACAGUUGGGGGCAUUUGUAUUUAAUAGUCAGAGGUAAAAUUCUUAGAUUUAUUAAAGACAAACUAAUGCGAAGGCAUUUGCCAAGGAUGUUUUCA
This 337-nucleotide ribosomal RNA is filed under the name uncultured microorganism. Its description in RNAcentral is "SSU rRNA". It matches the Rfam family "Eukaryotic small subunit ribosomal RNA", at positions 587 to 972 of the family's 1831-position model. The record is from RNAcentral.